This 253-nucleotide ribosomal RNA is filed under the name uncultured bacterium. RNAcentral's name for it is "partial 16S ribosomal RNA". It matches the Rfam family "Bacterial small subunit ribosomal RNA", at positions 524 to 776 of the family's 1533-position model. The record is from RNAcentral.
UACGAAGGGGGCUAGCGUUGCUCGGAAUCACUGGGCGUAAAGCGCACGUAGGCGGACUUUUAAGUCAGGGGUGAAAUCCUGGAGCUCAACUCCAGAACUGCCUUUGAUACUGAGGAUCUUGAGUUCGGGAGAGGUGAGUGGAACUGCGAGUGUAGAGGUGAAAUUCGUAGAUAUUCGCAAGAACACCAGUGGCGAAGGCGGCUCACUGGCCCGAUACUGACGCUGAGGCACGAAAGCGUGGGGAGCAAACAGG